CCUACGGGUGGCAGCAGUGGGGGAUAUUGGACAAUGGGGGCAACCCUGAUCCAGCGAAGCCGCGUGAGUGAAGAAGUACUUCGGUAUGUAAAGCUCUUUCAGCCGGGAAGAAAGACAUGACGGUACUUGCGUAAGAAACCCCGGCUAACUACGAACCAGCAGCCGCGGUAAUACGUAGGGGGCAAGCGUUAUCCGGAAUUACUGGGUGGAAAGGGAGCGUAGACGGUAAUGCAAGUCUGGAGUGAAAGGCGCGGGCCCAACCCGCGGACUGCUCUUGAGACUGGGUAACUGGAGUGCAGGAGAGGGAGGCGGAAUGCCUAGUGUAGCGGUGAAAUGCGUAGAUAUGAGGAGGAACACCAGUGGCGAAGGCGGCCUGCUGGACUGUAACUGACGUUGAGGCUCGAAAGCGUGGGGAGCAAACAGGAUUAGAUACCCCAGUAGUC
This 443-nucleotide ribosomal RNA is filed under the name uncultured bacterium. RNAcentral describes it as "partial 16S ribosomal RNA". It matches the Rfam family "Bacterial small subunit ribosomal RNA", at positions 338 to 795 of the family's 1533-position model. The record is from RNAcentral.